GACGAACGCUGGCGGCAUGCCUAACACAUGCAAGUCGAACGAGACCUUCGGGUCUAGUGGCGCACGGGUGCGUAACGCGUGGGAACCUGCCUUUAGGUUCGGAAUAACUCAGAGAGAUUUGAGCUAAUACCGGAUGAUGUCUUCGGACCAAAGAUUUAUCGCCUUUAGAUGGGCCCGCGUUGGAUUAGCUAGUUGGUGGGGUAAAGGCCUACCAAGGCGACGAUCCAUAGCUGGUCUGAGAGGAGGAUCAGCCACACUGGGACUGAGACACGGCCCAGACUCCUACGGGAGGCAGAAGUGGGGAAUAUUGGACAAUGGGCGAAAGCCUGAUCCAGCAAUGCCGCGUGAGUGAUGAAGGCCUUAGGGUUGUAAAGCUCUUUUACCCGAGAUGAUAAUGACAGUAUCGGGAGAAUAAGCUCCGGCUAACUCCGUG
Molecule: ribosomal RNA, 433 nt
Filed under: uncultured bacterium
Lineage: Bacteria
Description: partial 16S ribosomal RNA
Rfam family: Bacterial small subunit ribosomal RNA
Source: RNAcentral